RNAcentral lists this ribosomal RNA (253 nucleotides) under uncultured Anaerolineaceae bacterium. RNAcentral's name for it is "partial 16S ribosomal RNA". It matches the Rfam family "Bacterial small subunit ribosomal RNA", at positions 1128 to 1382 of the family's 1533-position model. The record is from RNAcentral. Lineage: Bacteria; Bacillati; Chloroflexota; Anaerolineae; Anaerolineales; Anaerolineaceae.
AUAUUGUGUCACACAGGACUGCUGGUAUUAAGCCGGGAGGAAGGUGGGGACGACGUCAAGUCAGCAUGACCUUUAUAUCCAGGGCUACACACACGCUACAAUGGUCAGUACAAUGGGUUGCCAAGCCGCGAGGCGGAGCCAAUCCUAAAAAGCUGGCCUCAGUUCGGAUUGCAGGCUGCAAUUCGCCUGCAUGAAGUCGGAAUCGCUAGUAAUCGCAGGUCAGCAUACUGCGGUGAAUACGUUCCCGGGCCUU